This 468-nucleotide ribosomal RNA is filed under the name uncultured bacterium. RNAcentral describes it as "partial 16S ribosomal RNA". It matches the Rfam family "Bacterial small subunit ribosomal RNA", at positions 28 to 507 of the family's 1533-position model. The record is from RNAcentral.
GACGAACGCUGGCGGCGUGCCUAAUACAUGCAAGUCGAACGGACAGGCCCUGCUUUUGCGGGUUGCUCGAUUGGCGAACGGGUGCGUGACACGUGAGUAUACUGCCCUUGACUUUGGGAUAACUUCAGGGAACUCGGGCUAAUACCGGAUAGGAGCUCCUGCUGCAUGGUGGGGGUUGGAGAGUGACGGCUGUGGUGGAUGGACUCGCGGCUUACCCGCUUGUUGGUCGGGUAGUGGCUUACCAAGGCUUCGACGGCUAGCCGGCCUGGGAGGGUGACCGGCCACAUGGGGACUGCGAUACGGCCCAGACUCCUACGGGAGGCAGCAGUGGGGAACAUUGCACAAUGGGCGGAAGCCUGAUGCAGCAACGCCGCGUGCGGGAUGACGGCCUUCUGGUUGUAAACCGCUUUGGCAGGUGAUGAAGCGUGAGUGACGGUAAUGAGUAAAGAAGCACCGGCUAACUACGUG